This 27-nucleotide small RNA is filed under the name Bombyx mori (domestic silkworm). Its description in RNAcentral is "ovarian small RNA-22214". The record is from RNAcentral. Lineage: Eukaryota; Metazoa; Arthropoda; Insecta; Lepidoptera; Bombycidae.
UAGCAACGUCCUUGAUAUUGUUGUGGU